Molecule: ribosomal RNA, 395 nt
Filed under: Agathomyia viduella
Lineage: Eukaryota; Metazoa; Arthropoda; Insecta; Diptera; Platypezidae
Description: partial 12S ribosomal RNA
Source: RNAcentral
UCUGGGAUUAGAUACCCUGUUAUUUAAAAUGUAAUUUAAUAAACUUGAGUAGUAAUAGUUAUGUUCUUUAAACUUAAAAAAUUUGGCGGUAUUUUAUUCUAUUCAGAGGAACCUGUUUUAUAAUCGAUAAUCCACGAUGUACCUCACUUAAGUUUGUUAUUAGUAUGUAUACCGUCGUUAUAGAAUAUUUUAUAAGAAUAAUAAUUUUCAAUAAUUUUUAUUAAAAUAAAUAUCAGAUCAAGGUGCAGCUUAUGUUUAAGUAAUAAUGGGUUACAAUAAAUUUAUUUUUGGAUAUAAAUAUGAAAAAUUUAUUGAAAUUGGAUUUGAUAGUAAAAUUAAAUAGAUUAUUAAUUUGAUUAUAGUUCUAAAAUAUGUACAAAUCGCCCGUCACUCUC